UACGUAGGCGGUUUACUAAGUCAGAUGUGAAAGCCCCGGGCUUAACCUGGGAACUGCAUUUGAUACUGGUAGGCUAGAGUAUGGUAGAGGGGGGUAGAAUUCAUAGUGUAGCGGUGAAAUGCGUAGAUAUUAUGAGGAAUACCAGUGGCGAAGGCGGCCCCCUGGACCAAUACUGACGCUGAGGUACGAAAGCGUGGGUAGCGAGCA
This 207-nucleotide ribosomal RNA is filed under the name uncultured bacterium. RNAcentral describes it as "partial 16S ribosomal RNA". It matches the Rfam family "Bacterial small subunit ribosomal RNA", at positions 568 to 774 of the family's 1533-position model. The record is from RNAcentral.